RNAcentral lists this ribosomal RNA (390 nucleotides) under Triticum aestivum (bread wheat). RNAcentral describes it as "partial small subunit ribosomal RNA". The record is from RNAcentral. Lineage: Eukaryota; Viridiplantae; Streptophyta; Magnoliopsida; Poales; Poaceae.
AUGCAUCCGAGUAAAUCUCCAGGUGUUGAUGGGUUCACGGCUGGGUUCUAUAUUAAGCAUUGGAACAUCCUGAAGAGCUCAGUAUGUCAUGCUAUCCGAGAGUUUUUUAUAACAGGAAUAUUGCCAGAUGUGGUUAAUAAUACGGUGUUGGUUCUCAUUCCCAAGAUUAAAAACCCACAGAACCUGGCUCAAUACCGACCGGUAUCUCUUUGCAACGUCUUGUAUAAGAUAAUUGCUAAGGUACUUGCUCUCAGGUUGAGGCCUUUUUUGGAAGAGAUUAUUUCGAAGGAACAAAGCGCCUUUGUCCCCGGAAGACUUAUAUCAGACAAUGUAUUAACUGCAUAUGAGUGUAUACACUACUUGAAAAGGAAAAAAAGGAAAAAGUGUUGA